RNAcentral lists this ribosomal RNA (321 nucleotides) under Staphylococcus aureus. Its description in RNAcentral is "bacterial SSU rRNA". It matches the Rfam family "Bacterial small subunit ribosomal RNA", at positions 488 to 809 of the family's 1533-position model. Lineage: Bacteria; Bacillati; Bacillota; Bacilli; Caryophanales; Staphylococcaceae. The record is from RNAcentral.
AGCCACGGCUAACUACGUGCCAGCAGCCGCGGUAAUACGUAGGUGGCAAGCGUUAUCCGGAAUUAUUGGGCGUAAAGCGCGCGUAGGCGGUUUUUUAAGUCUGAUGUGAAAGCCCACGGCUCAACCGUGGAGGGUCAUUGGAAACUGGAAAACUUGAGUGCAGAAGAGGAAAGUGGAAUUCCAUGUGUAGCGGUGAAAUGCGCAGAGAUAUGGAGGAACACCAGUGGCGAAGGCGACUUUCUGGUCUGUAACUGACGCUGAUGUGCGAAAGCGUGGGGAUCAAACAGGAUUAGAUACCCUGGUAGUCCACGCCGUAAACGA